RNAcentral lists this long non-coding RNA (4365 nucleotides) under Cavia porcellus (domestic guinea pig). RNAcentral's name for it is "lncRNA (ENSCPOG00000036053.1)". Lineage: Eukaryota; Metazoa; Chordata; Mammalia; Rodentia; Caviidae. The record is from RNAcentral.
UGGGGCCUACUUAAUUGUAGAUGCACAGUAAGUUGCUGAUAGAUGAAUGGCAAAUACAUAAGAAACAGCAUAAAAAUUAAAGCACAGUCUCUGUUUUUAAUGGAUUAUAUACUCACUUAUUAAAUAUUCAAUAUGGUGACAAAAGUUUUAAAGCUAAAACAAAAUCGGGCCACUGAAUCUUUAACUUCUACAAUUUCCUUUAUUUACACACACCUCAAAGGGUUAUUGGAACAAUUAAAUGACUCAGUGCUAUGAAACCCUGAGCCUGGUUUAUAACCUUUAGGAGACUUAGCUGUUACUGUGUGUCUUACAUACCUCAAGGGAGUUUCUAAGCAUUCAAGAUCUGUGAAAAGUGUGAAAUGCUAAAUAAGUGUAAUGGAAAGGUAAAUCCUCACCAUGGCAAGCAUUGAGAACAAAUGUCUAAAUUGAUUAUGAAAGCAAGUACUGUUCGGUAAAAAGUGCACGGAUUUUAACCAACAUGAAAUUUGUUUCUCUAAUGCAAUGCAUUAGAGAAAUUGCGUGGACUGACUCCAUUUUUAGAUAAACAGGAAGUACUCUCAGGGUUGCCUUAUUCUGCAUAGUGUUGUCUUUAUUUUUGACUACAGAAAGCUGGCUUAAGACAUCUUUCACAAGCAUGACUUUGGAGGUCCACUUUCAUUCAAGAAUUCAAGUCUAAAACUCGAAGUGCAGAGAGCUGGAGAGACGCGCAAGCACCGACCGGUCACCGCUCCAAUUACCUCAUCGCUCCAACUCCCCGCCCCUCUCAAACCUGGAAGGAGCAGCCCCCCUUCUCUCCAGGGUCAUCGUCCCCCCACCCCCAGUGGUGCUCCCAUCUCUUCGGUCAGUAUCCCAGAUCCUCUCUGGGGGCGCGGCGCCGGCCUCCCUACCCCGGCCACGCGCACCCAAGGGUUAAGGGCGCGGGCAGCCGUGCGCUCGCCUAGCUCCGUGCGGCUCGCCGGGCCGCCUGCCAGAGGGUGCCCCCCCCCCCACGAAGUCGGAUCCUUGAGCUGCGGCGGCGGCAGCCAACUGCUCCAUAUUUGGCUUCUAUUACACAUUUACAUACUGGAGCGAGCGAGCGAGCGAGCGCGAGAGAGCGCGAGGGAGGGCGGGCGGGCGGGCGGAGGGAGGAGGGCGGGGAGGGGAGCGGGAGGAGGGGGAGGAGAGAGCGGAGUAUACCGCAGACAUCAUUUCUACUACAGUGGCGGAGCCGUACAGGACCUGUUUCACUGCAGGGGGAUCCAAAAACAAGCCCUGUGGAGCAGCAGCCAGACCAACAGCAGCCGCAAGACACUGUUUCUCUCCCUCUAUCCCCCCUUCCCCACGCAACCCCAGAUCCAUUUACACUUUACAUUUGAUACUUAGGCAUUUUGGGGGAAAGAAGAUUAUGCCCAAGGAAGCCACCAGAGAGAAGAGAAAAUCCUGCACAUGAACUCUUGGAAAGGGAUUGCACCGCAGCAACUGAUGCUGAGGAAUUUAAUCUCCUCUGAUCGCCCUCUAACCGUGCGUGCACCACUCAGUGUUUCCGCAGCUCCGCAAAUAAAUGGGUUUGAAUGACACCUUCCACAUAAAGCAGAGGUUGAAGGGUUCCCCUGGACCUUCUGCCCGCCUGUCUUUCUCAUCAUGCGGAUAGUGUCAGUGGUGUAGGUUUUCCGGGCACUUACUCCAACCCUGAUCACUCCUGUAAUUAGAUCAGGCUGCCAUGGCAACAGACAGUGUUCUCCCUCCAUUCAGGUGGGUUUGCCUGAACUACUCCAAGUGUUUUAUGUACAGUAUUUGUGCUGCCCAGGCCAGACUUCACUAUUUCAAUUGCAUCUUCUUUCAGUCAUUUGGAUGGGAGGCACUGAAUGAGGCUUCUAGCUACUCAACUUUUAUAGAAGACCAACAAGCUGUUCUCACUGGGUACAGUAUGUAAAUGCAUCUCCCCAGACAGUGAAAGGAGCCUGACAAUCCUGCUGGUGUUUAUUGUGCACAGAUCAACAAGUAUUUGGUACUUGUUAGAAACCUUUCAGAGCUUACUAAAGCAACAUUUCUUUUGCGGUCUGGUGCCUUUUGGCCUUGCAGGCACUUAACCCUUUGCAGGGUGAAGAGAAGCCCUUCCUUUAGGGCUGACAUUCUUGCUCGUGAUGACUGGCUUUCUAAAAGCUUUGCUCAUAGGAAGUAACUUUCUUGGAAAGUCUAUACCUAUGAACACAUUUUAAAACUUCACAGCCAUCAUUACAAAAGCUGGUACUGACCGUAAGCAGACAUUCUGAAUGUAUUCUUCAUUUAAAUCUGUUGGCCAGGAUCUCUAGCGAUUGUCAGUAAUAAUUCAAAAUAUUUAUUUUCUCAGUUGGGUGAGAGAGAAUACAAGCCUGUAGCCAGUAGACUGAUCAUGCGUGGUGCUUUUGCUCAACAACAACCUGUGCUCCAUUUUAGGUUAUAAUUUAAGGAACACUUCCAGAGCAACCGCCUCAUCUUUGUAUCAGGGCACCCCCUCAUGAAAGAAGCCUGCUAGGCCAAGGAACAGGAUACUACAGCAAAAAAGAAAACAGGAGAAUGUCUUGAGUUGCUAGAGCUCUGUGUUGCACAGGUAGUCCAAAUAAGGAGUAUUUUUGUAACUGUGAUAUUUGAAACAGUCAUUGAAAGUGAUAGUGUCAUGAUUUAAUUGUCACCAUGCCCAUCGGUUUAUAGCUUUAUGGCUGCCUAGGUAAACGGUUGUUGUUUCUCCCCCCAGGAGCCAGGCUUGAGUGAGCCACUCACCUCUUAGCACAGCGGGUUGAUAAGUUUCUAGGUCUUGUCAGUGAGUGCACUGGUAAAGUCAUUGUGGCCUGGUCAUAUGAAGUGUUGCUGCGGUUAAAAUGAGCUAUUAUUUCUGGGAGGUAAAUAUGCUGGGAGCAGGGAAGUCAAAUAGGGCACAGGAGCAUAAGUUUUAUACAAUGCCUCGGAGACCCUGGGUUUUAUUUUGCAAAACACAGAAAGUUAUUUUAUUGGCAAUAAAAGGUGGACAUGUAUUUUCCAGUGCACAAAUAAAUCCGUGCUCAAAUGAGUAUGAAAAAUGUUCUUGAGUGAAAACUAUAACAGACAAUAUUUUCCUCUCUAUAUUUUGUUUUAAGAGGGUUUGGUAAACAGAGGUGGUACUGUGUUGGAAAUAUUAUAAGGAAGCUUCAGUCCUCUAAGUAUCUUUUGGAAAAUGAUUUAAAAAAAAAAAACUCUUUAGCCAUCAGAUUAUAUGUCAAAUGCCUGAAAACAGCCCUAAGUUAGAGCUACCUUAUAUCUGAGAGUCCUGAGAAAGAGCGGCAUUAAGAGAUUAUUAAAAUGUUAGGAAACAUUUCUACGGCUCCUGUUUUUGUUGUUACAGAGUUCAAGGACAUACAUUCCUUCCGUAUAAUGUGCCUUUAUUUUUUUUCCCUUCAAAAAUGUCAAGUGGAUUUUGCUUGUGCACAUGCAUUGAGUGACAGUUUCUGAUGACUAACACUGUAACACCUACUCACUGUGUUUCCUAUUAGGAAUUAGUCAAUAAAUGUGUUUUACUAAAGCCCUGAAACUCAUGGAAGUGGGUGAAUGUGGGGUGAAUAUUACUUCUUUAAACUAAAGUUAUCCAAAAAUAACACAUAGCCGAGACUCUACAAAGCUUAAAUACUUGCAUAGGUACAGUGACAUAAUGGAGUGACACACGUUAUUACUUUUGGAGGGGAGAAAUGGACUUACACUGCUUUGUAUUUUUAGUGUAAUGGAAUCAUAUGAGUGGCUUCCAUAGGAGAUUUAGAUCUCUGUAGUUUAAUUGCUUCAAAUAGUGGAUUUAGUUCUGGUCAUAUUUCAGAGGGCAACAGAAGCAAACCCUCCUUAUUUUUUUCAAAUGCAUGAAAACAAGAAAUUGUAGAAAACCCCGGCAGCAAGAACUUCUGUUCUAGAGCUUAUAUAAAGUACCUCGUUUGCUUUUAAGAUUUGAAUGUUUGAGAUAUGAAUUUAUACUGUUCCCAUUUUAGUUUCAUUUAAUGUUGUUUAAUGAAAUAAGUAUACUCGUAUACAUUUUCUUUAAGACUUAGUGAAAUAAUCAGUGUAUACAGUGUUAAUGUUGCAACAUUGUAAAAAUGCUGGCCAAAAGAAGUGUAAUGGGAUGGAGGUUUUAAAGCCAUGUAUCAAUCUUUAAAAUUUCAUAAGUAAUAAAAAGAAUAUUGUGUUGGUAAAUUACCUUUAUUUGUGGAAACUUUUUAUUUUUAUUGUAUAAUUAUAUUUAUGUGUUAUCUUUAUCAUUGUAGAGAUAGGUUUUAUAAUCCUCAUAAAUUUGAACCUUUCAGGCUAAUGUGCUAUCAAUGGUCAUACUACACAUUACUACUACCUCACGUAUACUAAAAUAUGCUUAGAAUUAUUACAGGCAGAAGGGCA